This 1456-nucleotide ribosomal RNA is filed under the name Lactiplantibacillus plantarum. Its description in RNAcentral is "bacterial SSU rRNA". It matches the Rfam family "Bacterial small subunit ribosomal RNA". The record is from RNAcentral. Lineage: Bacteria; Bacillati; Bacillota; Bacilli; Lactobacillales; Lactobacillaceae.
CAGUACUAUAAUGCAGUCGACGAACUCUGGUAUUGAUUGGUGCUUGCAUCAUGAUUUACAUUUGAGUGAGUGGCGAACUGGUGAGUAACACGUGGGAAACCUGCCCAGAAGCGGGGGAUAACACCUGGAAACAGAUGCUAAUACCGCAUAACAACUUGGACCGCAUGGUCCGAGUUUGAAAGAUGGCUUCGGCUAUCACUUUUGGAUGGUCCCGCGGCGUAUUAGCUAGAUGGUGGGGUAACGGCUCACCAUGGCAAUGAUACGUAGCCGACCUGAGAGGGUAAUCGGCCACAUUGGGACUGAGACACGGCCCAAACUCCUACGGGAGGCAGCAGUAGGGAAUCUUCCACAAUGGACGAAAGUCUGAUGGAGCAACGCCGCGUGAGUGAAGAAGGGUUUCGGCUCGUAAAACUCUGUUGUUAAAGAAGAACAUAUCUGAGAGUAACUGUUCAGGUAUUGACGGUAUUUAACCAGAAAGCCACGGCUAACUACGUGCCAGCAGCCGCGGUAAUACGUAGGUGGCAAGCGUUGUCCGGAUUUAUUGGGCGUAAAGCGAGCGCAGGCGGUUUUUUAAGUCUGAUGUGAAAGCCUUCGGCUCAACCGAAGAAGUGCAUCGGAAACUGGGAAACUUGAGUGCAGAAGAGGACAGUGGAACUCCAUGUGUAGCGGUGAAAUGCGUAGAUAUAUGGAAGAACACCAGUGGCGAAGGCGGCUGUCUGGUCUGUAACUGACGCUGAGGCUCGAAAGUAUGGGUAGCAAACAGGAUUAGAUACCCUGGUAGUCCAUACCGUAAACGAUGAAUGCUAAGUGUUGGAGGGUUUCCGCCCUUCAGUGCUGCAGCUAACGCAUUAAGCAUUCCGCCUGGGGAGUACGGCCGCAAGGCUGAAACUCAAAGGAAUUGACGGGGGCCCGCACAAGCGGUGGAGCAUGUGGUUUAAUUCGAAGCUACGCGAAGAACCUUACCAGGUCUUGACAUACUAUGCAAAUCUAAGAGAUUAGACGUUCCCUUCGGGGACAUGGAUACAGGUGGUGCAUGGUUGUCGUCAGCUCGUGUCGUGAGAUGUUGGGUUAAGUCCCGCAACGAGCGCAACCCUUAUUAUCAGUUGCCAGCAUUAAGUUGGGCACUCUGGUGAGACUGCCGGUGACAAACCGGAGGAAGGUGGGGAUGACGUCAAAUCAUCAUGCCCCUUAUGACCUGGGCUACACACGUGCUACAAUGGAUGGUACAACGAGUUGCGAACUCGCGAGAGUAAGCUAAUCUCUUAAAGCCAUUCUCAGUUCGGAUUGUAGGCUGCAACUCGCCUACAUGAAGUCGGAAUCGCUAGUAAUCGCGGAUCAGCAUGCCGCGGUGAAUACGUUCCCGGGCCUUGUACACACCGCCCGUCACACCAUGAGAGUUUGUAACACCCAAAGUCGGUGGGGUAACCUUUUAGGAACCAGCCGCCUAAGGUGGAGA